AUGUGCUUGGAGUUCGGCUCGUGUUUCGGCGGCAGGACGGACGACUACGGCGGCGAGCGGGCCAACCGCAGGGAGGAGCACGGCGGCGGCCGUGGUGCUCGUGGCCGCGACCGCAGAGGGAACCACGGCACCGGCGCUGGUGGCCACAAACCGGCGUACCACCACCAGCCGCCCGCCGCAGUGGACGAGGCCGUGCACAAGGCCUACCACGACGGCGUGCGGAAAGCCGACUACGCUGGCGCUGGUGUCCGCGGCGGUUACGCCACCUAUGCCGAACACAAGGCCGACAUGGAGAUGCCAAAGCUUCCCGUGUGGAACAAGAAGGUCGGCGACGACGCCUACACGGCGUGCCUCCAAGAAGCUGUUGAUACUGAUGAUAGGAACAACGCCGCCAUGGAUUACCACCACUAUGCAACCAGCACCACCUUUACUGCUACUACUCUCGGAAGGUACUAG
RNAcentral lists this ribosomal RNA (456 nucleotides) under Triticum aestivum (bread wheat). Its description in RNAcentral is "partial small subunit ribosomal RNA". Lineage: Eukaryota; Viridiplantae; Streptophyta; Magnoliopsida; Poales; Poaceae. The record is from RNAcentral.